GCCAGUAUGGUGGAUAUGAUUCUCGGCUUGUAACCGAGUGAGCUUGGGUUCGAAUCCCGAAUAAGGCA
This 68-nucleotide transfer RNA is filed under the name Trichonephila clavata. RNAcentral's name for it is "tRNA-Thr". Lineage: Eukaryota; Metazoa; Arthropoda; Arachnida; Araneae; Nephilidae. The record is from RNAcentral.